AUUGAACGCUGGCGGCAUGCCUUACACAUGCAAGUCGAACGGCAGCGCGGGCUUCGGCCUGGCGGCGAGUGGCGAACGGGUGAGUAAUGCAUCGGAACGUGCCCAGUAGUGGGGGAUAGCCCGGCGAAAGCCGGAUUAAUACCGCAUACGACCUGAGGGUGAAAGCGGGGGACCGAAAGGCCUCGCGCUAUUGGAGCGGCCGAUGUCGGAUUAGCUAGUUGGUGGGGUAAAGGCUUACCAAGGCGACGAUCCGUAGCUGGUCUGAGAGGACGAUCAGCCACACUGGGACUGAGACACGGCCCAGACUCCUACGGGAGGCAGCAGUGGGGAAUUUUGGACAAUGGGGGCAACCCUGAUCCAGCCAUGCCGCGUGCGGGAAGAAGGCCUUCGGGUUGUAAACCGCUUUUGUUCGGGAAGAAAUCCUCUGGGCUAAUACCCCGGGGGGAUGACGGUACCGGAAGAAUAAGCACCGGCUAACUACGUG
This 484-nucleotide ribosomal RNA is filed under the name uncultured bacterium. RNAcentral's name for it is "partial 16S ribosomal RNA". It matches the Rfam family "Bacterial small subunit ribosomal RNA", at positions 28 to 507 of the family's 1533-position model. The record is from RNAcentral.